UUGGUAAGUGACUAAAUAAAAGCUG
Molecule: non-coding RNA, 25 nt
Filed under: Cricetulus griseus (Chinese hamster)
Lineage: Eukaryota; Metazoa; Chordata; Mammalia; Rodentia; Cricetidae
Source: RNAcentral